UGUGCAACAGCACGCCAGAUUAAUACAUAUUGGGCACUUGGAUGAAAUGCAUUACGUAUCAACAAGUCCAAUGAUUCAGCCUAGUGAAAACCAGACAAAUUGUUCAAACAAAGAAAAACAAAAAACUAAAAAGCAUGAACAGUAUUUAAAAAGGCCUCUGAAAUGAAGGACCAAAGAGCCAAAAGGCUUGUCCAAAGCAAGGAGUACAGGAAAAAAAAAAUUCUAAUUCAGUGCAAAAUCCUGCGUCUGCAGCAGGAAAACAAAAAACUAAAAAAACAUGAACAGUA
This is a non-coding RNA of Paramuricea clavata, 287 nucleotides long. NCBI's taxonomy places the organism in Eukaryota, Metazoa, Cnidaria, Anthozoa, Malacalcyonacea, Plexauridae. The record is from the annotation of a GenBank genome assembly.